AGCGAACGCUGGCGGCAGGCCUAACACAUGCAAGUCGAACGGACCCUUCGGGGUUAGUGGCGGACGGGUGAGUAACACGUGGGAACGUGCCUUUAGGUUCGGAAUAGCUCCUGGAAACGGGUGGUAAUGCCGAAUGUGCCCUUCGGGGGAAAGAUUUAUCGCCUUUAGAGCGGCCCGCGUCUGAUUAGCUAGUUGGUGAGGUAACGGCUCACCAAGGCGACGAUCAGUAGCUGGUCUGAGAGGAUGACCAGCCACACUGGGACUGAGACACGGCCCAAACUCCUACGGGAGCAGCAGUGGGGAAUCUUGCGCAAUGGGCGAAAGCCUGACGCAGCCAUGCCGCGUGAAUGAUGAAGGUCUUA
This 362-nucleotide ribosomal RNA is filed under the name uncultured bacterium. RNAcentral's name for it is "bacterial SSU rRNA". It matches the Rfam family "Bacterial small subunit ribosomal RNA", at positions 29 to 419 of the family's 1533-position model. The record is from RNAcentral.